Molecule: long non-coding RNA, 843 nt
Organism: Myotis davidii
Lineage: Eukaryota; Metazoa; Chordata; Mammalia; Chiroptera; Vespertilionidae
Exons: 2
Source: RefSeq, a predicted model, not a curated record
UCGGGGAUGGGGAGGUGAGUCAGUUUUCAGCUGGCUGGUCUCCGGCUUCUGGGAGGCAUACACUAAUUAAAGGAAUCAGUAAGUGAAGCAAAGAUGAUCUCUAGACAGGGCUGUGAAGUCAUCAGUUUACUCAGAGACAGGGAGUAGGUGCUAUGAAGAUAGAUAAAGAGUCAUUUUACACAGUCCCUGCCGUCACUAAUUCAUAGUCUGGGCAGGAAGCUAAUGAGCAACGUAAUAAUUAGAAGACGAUGCCUGGUCGCGUACUCUUAAGCCCCAGGGUGCCAGGUGCACUGUGGUUCACAGGUUUGUGGGGAUCACUAGUCAAGAGGAGUUCAGGAAGAGUUGGGAGUCUUUCCGUGAAAGAUGGCAAGAAUUAAAGAGUGUGCAGACAGGGCGGCGACGCUGAGAGAGUUCCCUGUCCCGCGCUCCUGCAGCUGUGAGGUGAGCCAGAGGUCGCUCUGGCCCGGUAGGUUGACAGCUCAGCUAAUCAGCCCCCGGUUCCCAGGCCUAUCGCUGGAUGAUCGACUCCAGAGACGACUUCACGGAGGAGCGCCUGGCCAAGCUGCAGGACCCCUUCUCCCUCUACCGCUGCCACACCAUCAUGAACUGCACCAGGACCUGUCCCAAGGGGCUGAAUCCAGGGAAAGCUAUUGCUGAAAUCAAGAAAAUGAUGGCAACCUACAAGGAAAAGAAAGCUUCCGCCUAACUCUUCUCAUGCUAACCAUGACCUGUAACCAGCUCAGCUGGACAUAAUUUAUAUCUAAUUUGAGUUUCCAUGAUUAUAGCAUGUAAAAUAAAGUUUUAAGAAAAAAAUAAAUGUUAUUCUACUUUAUUAACCAAAAA